GACUUCCUUGACGAUCCCCGAGCUUAUAACUAGCUUCCUAAAAUCUAUAAAACAAUGAACAAUCACACAUACAGUAAGUUUGGAAAGCUUAGUAAGUCAUAAGCAAAUAAAGUAUAAUAAGGUCAUUAAUAACUUAUUACUAUUUGGCAGAAUAUAACUAAACUCAUACAUAUAUAUAAUCACCUUUCACAAGUUAUUUCACAUAGUCACAUAAUUGCAUCAAAACUUACAUCUUCAUUCUUAUCUCAUAUAAACAUAAAACAUACCUGAAUUAUUUAAGCCGAACUCAUAUUUGAUCUUGCUAAUCUUUGCCCGUUAUACCAUUCAGAAUCAUUAAGGAUAUUCGAAUAGCUUAACAGCUCGUAUAAUGCCAUCGUCCAAGACAUGGUCUUACAUGUAAUCAAAUAUCGAUGCCACUGUCCUAGACAGGGUCUUAUACGAAGUCAAAUACGAUGCCAAUGUCCCAGACAUGGUCUUACACGUAAUUUUCAUAUCGAUGCCAACGUCCUAGAUGUGGUCUUACACGAAAUCACAUACCAGAAUCCUAUGGUUCGUACGGGGAUUUUGGACGUCGUAAUUAAAUAGAGUCAAAAUCAUAAAUAAUUUUCCCAUGCUUAUAACAAUUCGGCAUUUAUAAUACAUAUACAUACAAAUUUAACGAUAUUUAUUUACUUAUGAACUUACCUCGGAUGAAGACGAACGGACCGAGACGACUAUUCGAUAAAUUUUGAUUUCCCUCGUUCCAAAUCCGAUUUCGUCUUUUCUUGAUCUAAAUUAAUACAAAUUUGACUUGUUUAAUCAUAUAUUUAUUCAAAUUCAUUCAAAAACACAUAAAUGGGAAAAUUGAAUUUUAGCCCAUAACAUUUCACAUUUUUCACAAUUUAGUCUCUAUUUCACAAAACACAAAAUAUUCGAAAUUUCACCACACCCAAGCUUGGCUGAAUUUCACUAGCGUCCCUAGCAGCCCAUUUCUUUCAUUUAUUUUGCAUUUUGACCCUUAAAUUUACAAAAUUCACAAUUUAACCCUAAAUAGGCAUUUUUACUAAAAAUCACUUAAUUAAACAUAAUAAUCUAAAAACAUAUAUUUAUUUUUCAUCAUCAAACAAAAAAAAAAUCAUAAGCUAUCAUCAAUGGCAAAUCAUGAAUACAUCAACAAAUUCAAAAUUUAAAACAUGGGUUAGCUAGUAUUCGAAGCAACGAUCUCAAAAACGUAAAAAUUAUCAAAAACCAAGCAAAAAACAUACCUAAUUAUUUAAAGCUUCAAAGUGCCGAACCUAAAACAACAAAAUGGCUUCUUUCUUCUUCAAGUUUCGGCAAAAACAAAGAUGAAUGCAUGACUAUUUUAUUUUAUGUAAUUACAUUUUUUUAUACUUUUUACUAUUUUAACCUUAAUGAAAUCUUAAUAAAAAUCACAUGAAUCAUGAACAUAAAUGUCCACUAACCUUAUAAUGACAUAUUAACCUUUUAAGGACUUCCCAUAAAUCAAAUCAUAACAAAUUAGAAUAUUAACAAUGAGAAUGCCACUUUUACUUUUUAUGCGAUUUAGCCUUUUUCACAAAUUAAGCAUACAAGCGGAUAAAUUAAAUCACGAAAAUUUCACACAUGUCAAUUCACAUACUAUAAGCACGAAAAUUAAUAUUGAAAUAUUUUUCUGACUCUGAUUUUUGGUCCUGAAACUACUGUCCGACUAGGGUCUAAACCAGGCAGUUACAAUGGGGAUAGAUAUUUCGUCUCACGAUUCGUGCGGCCUUAAGCAAUCCGUUCGUCCAAACUAGAGGUAUUUAUAGGCCAAGCUGGACUGGGUUUAGAUCCGGAUCAACUAAAAAUUUAGGCCCAUUUACUAGGCUCGGGCCUAGCCCGACCCGAAAAAUAGGCCUAAAAUUUUGCUCAAGGCCGACCCGAAUAAAAAUGCUAAAACACGGGCCUGACCCAGCCCGUCCGUAUUAAUUUUUUAUAUAAUUUUUAAAUAUAUAUAAUACUUAAAAAAUACUAAAAAAUCAAAAUAAAUAUUUCCAAACAAAUUGAAAAUAAAUUUUAAAAAAUAUGUAGACUUAAAUAACACUAAGAUAGAUACAACUUAGCAAGCAAAUGCCUUUAAAAUAAUAACAAAAUUAACAAAUGUCUUUAAAAUAAUAACAAAAUUAACAAUAAAAUAAGUUUUAUACAAUAUUCAAACAAUAACAACAAAAUAGUAGCAACAUAAUAUUAAAAUGGUAGAAAACUAAGGAUAAAACAACAAGAAAAUAACAUUAAAAAAUAGUAGAUUUUUUUUGUCCUUUAGUGAAUUCGGGCCGAGUUGGGCCUGGGCCAAAAAUGCCUUACUCGAGGCCCGAGCCGUUUUUUAAAGGGGCCUUAUUUUUUUUGUUUAAGCCUAUUUUUCAGGCCUAUAUUUUUUUCCAAACCCUCCCACAUUUCGGACGGGCCUUCGGGCCGGGUUAGGUUGCCCGACCCAUGAUCAGGUCUAGUACAAACUCGCCUAAGUCAGUCUUUACUCAAGUGAGGAUUCCUUAAGAACCCCUCCAAGGCACCAAUUUGUAUAGCGGAAGCGAUUUAUGCCAAAAGAAGCAACAAAAAAAAUAACAGAAAGAACGCACACAAGGUGUUUGAGUAAAUGUUCUCUAUAUUCUCUUAUUCACAAAGAAUAAUGAAACAAUAAAUGGAGUGAGUACAAAUGAGGGGAAUACUCUCUACUUAUAGUUGAGCUCCCCCAAUACCGACGGUCAAGAUACAUUUACAUCGACAGACGAGAUUAACUAUAUCCCUUGAUUUUUAAGAUUUACAAGAUAUGUCAUAUCAAAUCUAAUCUAAUCUUUACAAGAUAUGAUUCUAUCAAUCUUCUAAGAUUAGUUACCAAAAUAGCCUAAGUUGCCAUAUCUUCUUUAUUGAGCCAACCAGGCUUCAAUCUGAUAGGCUUCUCCAAUAGCUUACCGAAUCGGGCCAGUUAUUGCGGGCCAAAUGAUCCCCAUCUACACAAUAGACUUCAUUUGGAUGCAUUUGGUGCGAUGGUCACGGGCUUUAAACUGCGGCCCGUGACACUAGAACAAUCUAAACUAUAAAUUAACAAAUAUAAUUAAAAUUCACACAUAGUAACAACUCAUAAGGACUCGAAAGCUUACACAAUUUUCUUUUUUCUUUUUUUUCGAUAAAUAAGAGAAGGCAUCACAUUGCCUUAGAUCAAUUCAUUCUUACAUAGGGAUCACAUAUUUUAUCUUCUAAAAGUAGUCUCCUAAUAUAGAAUGUAGGAACAUCAAAUGGUAACUAAAUCAACAUCAUUAGAAGGACAUGAUCAGGCUAAUCAAUCAGCGACCAUAUUUGCUUCCCUACUCACAAACUGGAAGUUGAUUGUUGAAAAUUGUCGACACACUUCAUUGAUUUUCCUAAUAAGAGUCAUCAAGGGUGUACUUCCUAAGUACUCCUUAAUCAUAUUCACUGUCUUCAUGCAAUCAGUUUCUAUAAUCGCCUUAGUGUAAUUGUAAUACCCCCUACCCGUAUUCGUCGCCGAAAUAGGGUAUAAGGCAUUACCAGAUUUUACAGAAUAAAUUUUUCGUUAUUCCAAGUUAAAUACUAUUUAUUUAUCGAAACAUGUCAUGACGUCCCUUGGAUAUGCCUCCGAAGCCCAAAAUAUACAUCGGGACCAAACUAUGAUUAAAUUGAAACCAUAAGAAAUUAUUUUCGCAAAAUCCCAAAGUUUUUUUUUAUGAACUCAAUAUAACCCCUUUAUAAAUAUCUAAUAUUCCCUACAAUUUUAAACCAAGACCAAUCCAACACAACCAAUCCAUUUCAAUAUAUUUUCAAGAUAGAUUUAACAUAUUCAUAAGAUAAUCUCAUCACAUACCAAAACCAAAAUUUGUUAGCCAUACCAAUGGCUAACCAUACAUUCAUUUCACAUUAACAUUUACUUUACUAGCUUAUACAUGUCAUUGAUUUCCAAAAUAAAGGGGUACAUUUUAGUGUACAAAUCUGGGUCUGUCAAUUCAUAUUCAUGUGCGCAUAUUUUCAUUUCAGAUAGCACAUUCCCGCGAACCUCAUCCUUACAGCGAGAUUACCAAUCCAGGCUAAAUCCCCUGUAAUAUAAACUCAUAGAGUAUUGUCGGGAUUACCAGUCUAGGCUAAAUUCCUUACAAUGACAAUUACUCUAAUGAGCUUGGAUCUGAAUUACCAGUCCAGGCUAAAUUCAGACCCUAAUUCGGAUUACCCGUCUGGGCUAAAUCUAUUUUUCACAUAUUCUUCGAGAGGGCUAUACUAGGAUAGGAUCACCCGUCCGGGCUAGAUCCUUUUUACCAUCAAUUUCUUUUCAGAGAUCCAUCGAAUUUUCCUUCUAUUCAACCGAGAUUUCUUCUGAUUUUUAUCAAAUAUAUCAAAGUUUCAUCAAUUUUCAUACAAUGAACAUUCAAAUCAUAUUCACAUCAAUAACAAAUAUUUCAAGCAUUUAAGAAUAUAAUUCAAGUUACACGAACUUACCUCGAUACUUAUUCGUAUGCAAAAAUCUACUAAUCCAGAACUUUUUCUUUUCCUCGAUCUAGCUUCGUAUUUUAAUUUUUUGGUGCAAGUAUUUCACAGCUUGAAUAAACCCUUAGGACGUUUUUGGCUGAUGAUAAUGAAGAGAAUUCUAGAUAUUACAAGUUGAUCCCAUUUUUAUUUUAGUAAAUUUUGUUAUUUUCCCAUUUUGCCCUUAUUUCACCAAUUCUCCUGAUUUUUCUCAGCUUACGCCACCCAAAAUAUAUCAUUUUGGGCUUAUUUGCAAUUUAUGUCCCUUCUCAUUUAACAAUUGAGCUAUUUAAUCCUUCUAAUAACUUUUACACCCUUUUCAAUUUAGUCCUUUUCACUUAAUUAACUACCCAAACGUAGAAAUUUUCUAACGAAAUUUUAAUACCAUAUUACUAACAUUUCAUAAAUGUUUAUAAAAAUAUUGCCGACUCAGUUUUCUGAGAUCGAGGUCCCGAUACCUUGUUUUACCUAAUUUCUUCAAUAAAUUUUUUUCUAACUAACCACUAAAUCGGUAAAAUUUUUCUAUCGAUUUUUUCAUACGAUUUUCCUAUCAUAUCAAUAUUCAUGCAAAAAUAUUAAAAUAAAUUUCUCUUUAAAUUGGAUUUGUGGUUACGAAACCACUGUUCCGAUAACCUUGAAUUUAGGCCAUUAAUGUAACCUUUAGUCCGAGCUAUUUCUAAGCCAUGAUGAAUCGCCCACAACUUUGAAUUCAUAACCGAGCCCCUUCCAACGAAUCUUUGAAACCCUUCAAUCUAAUUCCCUGAUGAGUCCCGUAACACACUCUUAGUUGCUGACCAAUCACCAUUUCUACGUGCCGCUUUAUUCGUGUUGACUUUGAGCCAUCCAUGACUGGGUGGACACCAUCUAGUCUGCAUAACUUGGGAGCCUCUAGUUCUACGACCCUUGAGAUUUGUUUGGCAAACAUUAAUGGUAAAAUACUCGGCGCUUCUAACAAUAUCUUCCACUUUGCCGAUCACCUGCUGGAAAACAUCUUAUUCCUAUUUUUCCACAACAUCCAACACAAAACUGCAAAGAUCACUUGAGACUUCGCUCCACUAGAUCCAAUCUAAAACUCUCCUCUAAGAUUGGCACUUAGCCACUCGAGCAAAUUCAACUCAAAGAAUCGAGGUACACAAUCAGCUGGAAUUAUCUUCAUCCAGGCUUCAGUUGCAAAUCGACAAUCUCAUAACGCAUGCAAAUCAAUUUCAUGAAAUCCUCCACAGAGUAAACAUCUUGCUUUGUCAGUCAGUCUUUUCCUAACCCUUUCAUAAUUACUAAAAAGUCUUUGGUGAAUCACUAACCAUAAGAAGUGUUUAAUUCUUAGAGGUAAGACAUUGUUCCAAAUUUCCUUCCACCCAGUGUCGACAUGGGGAACAUCAAACUGAACAAUGCUCUUAUAAGCAACCUUAACUGAGAACCUACCAUUAACAUUUUGUCUCCAUAAACAUGUAUCAUUACCUGGAACAUCAUUAGAUGAGUGACAUGCAAUAAUGUAAUCCAGUAUCUCACUGCUAAAUCAAUGCCUCUACUCUGACCAUUUCCAGCAUCUAUUCGUAUACACAAAAUCAGCCACAUUAAGGUGUGCCAAAAUAAUUGCAUUAGAAGACAGAUAUUCAAAUAGAGGCAUCAAAUCAGGGAUCCAAACAUCCUGCAUAAAACUAAUUGAUUUGUUAUUCCCUAAGUUCCAGUACAAGUUCUUCCGAAAUCAUUCCCAAAUAUAGGAUAUCGAAUGCCAUACAUAAGAGCAAUUAAAUUUUAUUUAUCAAGAGUGGGCAUAACUCCGACAUCUUAUACUUACUACGUAGUACUUUGAUCUAUAGCGCGUCCAGCUUGCUCACUAUCUAACAAUGAGAUAUUUUGAGGCACCAACCUCCUCAAACCAAGGCCCCCCAUCUUAAUAUGUUGACAACAAGUAUCCUAUUUGACUAAUGUCAUCUUCUUUCCACUAGUUGAACUCCAAACAAACUAUCUAACAAUCUGCUCAAUUUUCUCAUAGAUACUUAUAGGAAACAUUGUUGACUGCAUGAAGUAACCUAAUAUAGCUAGCAACACCGAUUUUGCCAAUAUUGUUUAUCUUGCCAAUAACAAUAGCUUAACAUCGAAAUAAUUCAGUUUCCUCUUUACUUUAUCAAUAACAAACUGGAAAGUGCUCUUAGUGGCUAUUUUGUGAAACAACGGUGCUCCUAAGUAAGUGCCCAGGUCCUCCACCUUCUGAAAUCCUAAGACAUUCCCAGGCAUUCUCCUAACCAUAGUCUAUUUGUUAGCCGAGAAGUAACUUUUUGAUUUACCAGAAUUUAUUUUAUGGCUUGUUGACAUAGUUUCAGCAUUCUCCAAACUUGUUUCCCUAAACGACACCAAGUCGUCGGCAAAAAAUAGGUGAGAAAGAAAAUGUCCCCCUCUUUCCCAAUUUAUAGGCUUCCACUUUCGAUUCAAAACCACCAACUUGACCGCAUGACCAAGCUUCUCCAUUGCUAAAACAAAGAUAUACGGCGAGACUGGGUCACCCUGCCUUACACCUCUCAUUGGUAAAAAUUCAUCCGUGAAGUCUCCAUUCCAAAGUGUUUGCAUUGAUGACAUCAAUACGCAAUGCAUUAUUAUGCAAAUAAUAUUAUUAGGCACAUGAGCAUCUUCAAAAGUGUCUUUGAUGAAAUCCCUUUUAAGCGAUCAUAUUUUUUCUUCAUAUCGAUCUUGACUGCCAUCCAAUCUUUCUUCCCUUUUCGACCCAUCAUAAAAUGGAUAACCUCUUGUGCAUUGACAACAUUAUCCAUAAUGUUCUGGCCUCCCACAAAGCUAGUUUGGUUAUUCAGAAUAAGGGUCGGCAUGAUAGGUUUGAGUCGAUUCACAAUUACCUUAGAGAUGAUCUUAUAUGACACAGAGUAUAGAUUUAUGGGUCGCAACUGCAUAAUAGACUCUGGAGCAGUCACCUAAGGAAUAAGAACAAGUAAAGUUCUAUUAAAAAAACCCUCAAGGUUGUCAUUCUCAAAGACUCUCCUAACCAAAAAAACCAGAGAUUCCCUAACCACGUUCCAUUAUGAUUGAUAAAACUAAACAUGUAAGCCAUCAAUCCCCAGAGCUUUAAGCGGCACCAUAUCAAAUAGUGCAUUGUGAGCUUCCUGAGUAGACAAGUUUCAACCAAAUGCUUCUAAUAAAAAAAGCUCAACAAUAUAGAACAUAUUCUUAACAAGGAAGCUUCAUGCACUAGGUGCAUCAGCAUAUACAGUCUUUGAAAAAAUGAAACAACUUCAUAUCAUAACUUAUCUUCAUCAUAACACCACGACCCAUCCUCUAACUCCAGGGCUUUAAUCUGAUUUAAUCUUUGCCUUGAAUUAGCUCGAGAAUGGAAGUACUUAGAGUUUUGAUCACUGAGGGACAACCAAUCAUUUCAAGAUUUUUGUUUCUAGAGAAGCUCAUCACUAUCAAGUACACUUUCGAGCUUAAUUUGCAGAUCUUUCUCCAGUUCAAUAAGCUUCCUUGACCGGUACCUCUCCAAACAUAUUUGAAUUCCACCUAAUCGUAUCAAUAAGAUCCGCUUUCUCUUUAGUAUGUUCCCAGAGACAUCCUUAUUCCAUUUCGUUGUUGCCACUACAAACUUCUUAAUCGACUCCUCUAACGGACUGCCAUUCACCCAAUUCUCAUUAACCAAAUGAUAGAAACCACUAUGAAACAACCAUCCACUUAAAAAUUGAAAAAGUCAAUAAGGGUUCCCAACAUUAUCCUUACCAAACCAGACAGAUAUAGGACGAUGGUCGAACUUAAUCCUUUGAAGGUGGUAGACCGUUGUUUUCGGGAGCAAAAGAUCCCACUGAGAGUUACAUAUAACUCGGUCAAGACGCUCAAACACAAUACCUCUAUUCCAUGUAAAAUUUGACCAUUGAAAACCAAGGUCUUUCAGAUUGUAACUUUGGCAGAAUCGUUGGAACAAUGGGCAGUUACUGGCAUAUUUCCUCGAGCUUCCUCUUUCUCCUCCUCACUUAGCAUCGCAUUAAAGUCAUCUGUGAUCAACAACGAUAACCUCAUAUUAUGUGAAAUAAUACCAUGCUCCUUCCAUAUCUCUUUCCCGACCGUCCACCGAGGACUCCCAUAAAUCCCAGUGAAAAAAAACUCAAUCAUUAAGCUUCGAAAGCCACACUUUCAAAUGCAAAAACUGAAAUUGGUUUACUUCCAUCGUUAUACUAACAUUAUCCUUCUACAAAACCCAAAUUCCCCCCGAAAAACCACUGGCUUCGACUCUAUGAGAAUUCGACAUGCCAAUACUCCCAAUUACUCGAUCUACCUUAAAGCCACUAACUAGGGUUUCAACUAGAACAACAAUACCAGGAUCAAAGUCCCGUAGGUACUCCUUAAAAAAGCUGUGAAAAUUUGAGUGUCCCGCACCUUAACAGUUCCACACAAAAAUAUUUGACUUCAUAAAAUAACAAAUAGAUCAAUAAAUCCAUCAAACCUGAAUUUGCAAAGUCACUCCGAAAAGUCAUCCAUACUAACCGUACCCACCUUCUCAACCUAUUGACUCUCACGGAAACCCCCUGGAUUUAGUUCUAUCUCCAACUGACUUGAGGUGGCCAUCAUGGUGUUCAUCGUUCGAGGCUCCAAAAUUUGUUCACCCAAUUCCAACCUACUCACCAUUCCCAGGACCGCUUGUUCAACUGGAAUAGAUAUGUCUGUACCGACUUGAUUCGGUUCUUUGCUAAUGUCGUCGAUCUCCAACAUGUCCUUUGUUAGAAUCUUCUUCAGUGAUGCCGGAAGAAAAGUUGGGGAAACCAAGUUCAUGAACCCCAAACUUUUGGCUUGGUUUACAGUCUUAGUAGAACCCAUAUUCGAGUUUUUGUUUUCUUU
Molecule: long non-coding RNA, 9321 nt
Filed under: Gossypium raimondii (Peruvian cotton)
Lineage: Eukaryota; Viridiplantae; Streptophyta; Magnoliopsida; Malvales; Malvaceae
Description: long non-coding RNA (GRAI_LNC002501)
Source: RNAcentral